GUAGUCUCGCACAGAUGCAUAUCAAUAAGCGGAGGAAAAGAAACUAACAAGGAUUCCCCUAGUAACGGCGAGUGAAGCGGGAAGAGCUCAAAUUUGAAAUCUUAAAGGGUUUCCCUUUACGAAUUGUAGUUUAAAGAAGUGUUUUCUGUUGAGGUUUUGGUAAAAGUUCUUUGGAAUAGGACAUCAUAGAGGGUGAGAAUCCCGUAUUUGACCUUUACUUUCAACUUUGUGAUACACUUUCAAAGAGUCGGAUUGUUUGGGAAUGCAGUCCAAAAUGGGUGGUAAAUUUCAUCUAAAGCUAAAUAUUGGCGAGAGACCGAUAGCGAACAAGUACCGUGAGGGAAAGAUGAAAAGAACUUUGAAAAGAGAGUUAAACAGUACGUGAAAUUGUCAAAAGGGAAGCGUUUGACACCAGUGUUGUUUUUCUGAAAAUCAAUUAAAGAACUGUUUAUGCUAAGCUGUUUAGACUUUAUCAGCUAUCUGUUUAGUUUUGAGCUUUUCUUUAAUGCACUUUUCAGUUAACAAGUCAACAUCAAUUUCUUUUGCUGUAAAAAAGCUUGAGGAAGGUGGCUUGAGAUUCGUCUUAAGUGUUUAUAGCCUCUUGCCUAUGCAGUCGGAGGGAUUGAGGUCUGCAGCGUAGAUCCUUCGGGGCUAAAUGCAUUUGUGCUAAGUUAUAGCAUUUUAUAGACAACUUGUUGACUAUGAUUUGUCUUGUAGCUUACUCGCUUAUGUUAUUUUACCUACGCUUAGGAUGUUGAGUAGCGACAUACGCAC
This 774-nucleotide ribosomal RNA is filed under the name uncultured Neocallimastigales. Its description in RNAcentral is "partial large subunit ribosomal RNA". It matches the Rfam family "Eukaryotic large subunit ribosomal RNA", at positions 24 to 649 of the family's 3401-position model. The record is from RNAcentral. Lineage: Eukaryota; Fungi; Neocallimastigomycota; Neocallimastigomycetes; Neocallimastigales.